AGUCACAAGAGGCCCUGAGCUCUGUGGGCCCCAGGUGCCCCAGGAAAACUUGGGGGAGAAUGGGCAUCCCACCCCAGCACUUUCUAGGAAGGAGGGCAGCAUUUUGAAGGGCUGGAAGUAGAGGAAGGAGGUUGCGGGUAGAAGACUCCAUACUUUCUGUGAUGCCUAUUCCUUAGGAGAGCCUUUAUAUAACCAAAGAUAUUUUUGGACCAUGAAUUCGGAAAUUCUCGGAGCCACCCAUCAGUGCCUGAGCUUCAGUGAGUCCAUAUCCCAUGUCACCCACGGCAAAGGAGAAUCUAAGACUUCUGAAGAGUUUCUUGCUUCUUUCCUGUGGGGCAGUGACUCCACUUCCCAGCAGUAAUGGAAUAUCCUGAAUUAGCUACAUUAAUGUUAGAACCAUUUGGACCUCACCCAGGACUUCAACUACAUUAUGCUAAAGUUACAGAACCCAAAUUUGGCAACUGUCUGCAUCUGAACAACAGAAGUUUCAACAUUCUGCCAACAGAGUAACUCCUGGACGAUUGGCACAGAAGGCACAAGGCAAAUACCUAUCUCUGUACACCCUGUGCUACUGUGUCAUGUGCUGCUCCAGGCAACUCCAAUGGAUUGGCCACCCUGGCCAAUGUGUUCUAGUAUGUUAGGUUUAUGUUCCCCUGCUUUCUACAAUCCUGUUCAAAGAGUUGCUGACUUAACCACAGAGAGGAUUCCAGAACAUGAGACACAGAAUAAACUUGAGCAAUCAUAGUCCAUCCACUUCAUUUUCUCAUCAAAAACCAAAGGUCCAGUGAAGCUCUGGAACUCAACGCUGUAAAGGAGCGAAGGAGCUUCUAUACAGAGCCUGGAUGCCUGUCUCCUUAUCCUAC
Molecule: non-coding RNA, 863 nt
Filed under: Pan troglodytes (chimpanzee)
Lineage: Eukaryota; Metazoa; Chordata; Mammalia; Primates; Hominidae
Source: RNAcentral